RNAcentral lists this ribosomal RNA (468 nucleotides) under uncultured bacterium. Its description in RNAcentral is "partial 16S ribosomal RNA". It matches the Rfam family "Bacterial small subunit ribosomal RNA", at positions 28 to 507 of the family's 1533-position model. The record is from RNAcentral.
GACGAACGCUGGCGGCGUGCUUAACACAUGCAAGUCGAACGGAAAGGCCCUGCUUUUGUGGGGUGCUCGAGUGGCGAACGGGUGAGUAACACGUGAGUAACCUGCCCUUGACUUUGGGAUAACUUCAGGAAACUGGGGCUAAUACCGGAUAGGAGCUCCUGCUGCAUGGUGGGGGUUGGAAAGUUUCGGCGGUUGGGGAUGGACUCGCGGCUUAUCAGCUUGUUGGUGGGGUAGUGGCUUACCAAGGCUUUGACGGGUAGCCGGCCUGAGAGGGUGACCGGCCAGAAUGGGACUUAGAUGCGGGCGAGACUCCUACGGGAGGCAACAGUGGGGAAUAUUGCACAAUGGGCGGAAGCCGGAUGCAGCAACGCCGCGUGCGGGAUGACGGCCUUCGGGUUGUAAACCGCUUUCGCCUGUGACGAAGCGUGAGUGACGGUAAUGGGUAAAGAAGCACCGGCUAACUACGUG